Molecule: ribosomal RNA, 819 nt
Filed under: Fictibacillus nanhaiensis
Lineage: Bacteria; Bacillati; Bacillota; Bacilli; Caryophanales; Fictibacillaceae
Description: bacterial SSU rRNA
Rfam family: Bacterial small subunit ribosomal RNA
Source: RNAcentral
GCAGGCGGUCUCUUAAGUCUGAUGUGAAAGCCCACGGCUCAAUCGUGGAGGGUCAUUGGAAACUGGGAGACUUGAGUGCAGGAGAGAAAAGUGGAAUUCCACGUGUAGCGGUGAAAUGCGUAGAGAUGUGGAGGAACACCAGUGGCGAAGGCGGCUUUUUGGCCUGUAACUGACGCUGAGGCGCGAAAGCGUGGGGAGCAAACAGGAUUAGAUACCCUGGUAGUCCACGCCGUAAACGAUGAGUGCUAGGUGUUGGGGGGUUCCACCCUCAGUGCUGAAGUUAACACAUUAAGCACUCCGCCUGGGGAGUACGACCGCAAGGUUGAAACUCAAAGGAAUUGACGGGGGCCCGCACAAGCAGUGGAGCAUGUGGUUUAAUUUGAAGCAACGCGAAGAACCUUACCAGGUCUUGACAUCCUUUGAACCCUUUAGAGAUAGAGCUUUCCCCUUCGGGGGACAGAGUGACAGGUGGUGCAUGGUUGUCGUCAGCUCGUGUCGUGAGAUGUUGGGUUAAGUCCCGCAACGAGCGCAACCCUUGACCUUAGUUGCCAGCAUUCAGUUGGGCACUCUAAGGUGACUGCCGGUGACAAACCGGAGGAAGGUGGGGAUGACGUCAAAUCAUCAUGCCCCUUAUGACCUGGGCUACACACGUGCUACAAUGGAUGGUACAAAGGGUUGCGAAGCCGCGAGGCCAAGCCAAUCCCAAAAAGCCAUUCUCAGUUCGGAUUGUAGGCUGCAACUCGCCUACAUGAAGCCGGAAUUGCUAGUAAUCGCGGAUCAGCAUGCCGCGGUGAAUACGUUCCCGGGCCUUGUACACAC